This 465-nucleotide ribosomal RNA is filed under the name uncultured bacterium. Its description in RNAcentral is "partial 16S ribosomal RNA". It matches the Rfam family "Bacterial small subunit ribosomal RNA", at positions 28 to 507 of the family's 1533-position model. The record is from RNAcentral.
GACGAACGCUGGCGGCGUGCUUAACACAUGCAAGUCGAACGGAAAGGCCCUGCUUGCCGGGUACUCGAGUGGCGAACGGGUGAGUAACACGUGGGUGAUCUGCCCUGUACUUCGGGAUAAGCCUGGGAAACUGGGUCUAAUACCGGAUAGGAGCCAUUUUUAGUGUGAUGGUUGGAAAGUUUUUUCGGUGUAGGAUGAGCUCGCGGCCUAUCAGCUUGUUGGUGGGGUAAUGGCCUACCAAGGCGGCGACGGGUAGCCGGCCUGAGAGGGUGGACGGCCACAAUGGGACUGAGGUACGGCCCAAACUCCUACGGGAGGCAGCAGGGGGGAAUAUUGCACAAUGGGCGCAAGCCGGAUGCAGCGACGCCGCGGGGGGGAAGACGGCCUUCGGGUUGUAAACUCCUUUCGCUAGGGACGAAGCUUUUUGUGACGGUACCUAGAUAAGAAGCACCGGCUAACUACGUG